AGCGUACACGGUGGAUGCCCUGGCAGUCAGAGGCGAUGAAGGACGUGCUAAUCUGCGAUAAGCGUCGGUAAGGUGAUAUGAACCGUUAUAACCGGCGAUUUCCGAAUGGGGAAACCCAGUGUGUUUCGACACACUAUCAUUAACUGAAUCCAUAGGUUAAUGAGGCGAACCGGGGGAACUGAAACAUCUAAGUACCCCGAGGAAAAGAAAUCAACCGAGAUUCCCCCAGUAGCGGCGAGCGAACGGGGAGCAGCCCAGAGCCUGAAUCAGUGUGUGUGUUAGUGGAAGCGUCUGGAAAGGCGCGCGAUACAGGGUGACAGCCCCGUACACAAAAAUGCACAUGCUGUGAGCUCGAUGAGUAGGGCGGGACACGUGGUAUCCUGUCUGAAUAUGGGGGGACCAUCCUCCAAGGCUAAAUACUCCUGACUGACCGAUAGUGAACCAGUACCGUGAGGGAAAGGCGAAAAGAACCCCGGCGAGGGGAGUGAAAAAGAACCUGAAACCGUGUACGUACAAGCAGUGGGAGCACGCUUAGGCGUGUGACUGCGUACCUUUUGUAUAAUGGGUCAGCGACUUAUAUUCUGUAGCAAGGUUAACCGAAUAGGGGAGCCGAAGGGAAACCGAGUCUUAACUGGGCGUUAAGUUGCAGGGUAUAGACCCGAAACCCGGUGAUCUAGCCAUGGGCAGGUUGAAGGUUGGGUAACACUAACUGGAGGACCGAACCGACUAAUGUUGAAAAAUUAGCGGAUGACUUGUGGCUGGGGGUGAAAGGCCAAUCAAACCGGGAGAUAGCUGGUUCUCCCCGAAAGCUAUUUAGGUAGCGCCUCGUGAAUUCAUCUCCGGGGGUAGAGCACUGUUUCGGCAAGGGGGUCAUCCCGACUUACCAACCCGAUGCAAACUGCGAAUACCGGAGAAUGUUAUCACGGGAGACACACGGCGGGUGCUAACGUCCGUCGUGAAGAGGGAAACAACCCAGACCGCCAGCUAAGGUCCCAAAGUCAUGGUUAAGUGGGAAACGAUGUGGGAAGGCCCAGACAGCCAGGAUGUUGGCUUAGAAGCAGCCAUCAUUUAAAGAAAGCGUAAUAGCUCACUGGUCGAGUCGGCCUGCGCGGAAGAUGUAACGGGGCUAAACCAUGCACCGAAGCUGCGGCAGCGACGCUUAUGCGUUGUUGGGUAGGGGAGCGUUCUGUAAGCCUGCGAAGGUGUGCUGUGAGGCAUGCUGGAGGUAUCAGAAGUGCGAAUGCUGACAUAAGUAACGAUAAAGCGGGUGAAAAGCCCGCUCGCCGGAAGACCAAGGGUUCCUGUCCAACGUUAAUCGGGGCAGGGUGAGUCGACCCCUAAGGCGAGGCCGAAAGGCGUAGUCGAUGGGAAACAGGUUAAUAUUCCUGUACUUGGUGUUACUGCGAAGGGGGGACGGAGAAGGCUAUGUUGGCCGGGCGACGGUUGUCCCGGUUUAAGCGUGUAGGCUGGUUUUCCAGGCAAAUCCGGAAAAUCAAGGCUGAGGCGUGAUGACGAGGCACUACGGUGCUGAAGCAACAAAUGCCCUGCUUCCAGGAAAAGCCUCUAAGCAUCAGGUAACAUCAAAUCGUACCCCAAACCGACACAGGUGGUCAGGUAGAGAAUACCAAGGCGCUUGAGAGAACUCGGGUGAAGGAACUAGGCAAAAUGGUGCCGUAACUUCGGGAGAAGGCACGCUGAUAUGUAGGUGAAGUCCCUCGCGGAUGGAGCUGAAAUCAGUCGAAGAUACCAGCUGGCUGCAACUGUUUAUUAAAAACACAGCACUGUGCAAACACGAAAGUGGACGUAUACGGUGUGACGCCUGCCCGGUGCCGGAAGGUUAAUUGAUGGGGUCAGCGCAAGCGAAGCUCUUGAUCGAAGCCCCGGUAAACGGCGGCCGUAACUAUAACGGUCCUAAGGUAGCGAAAUUCCUUGUCGGGUAAGUUCCGACCUGCACGAAUGGCGUAAUGAUGGCCAGGCUGUCUCCACCCGAGACUCAGUGAAAUUGAACUCGCUGUGAAGAUGCAGUGUACCCGCGGCAAGACGGAAAGACCCCGUGAACCUUUACUAUAGCUUGACACUGAACAUUGAGCCUUGAUGUGUAGGAUAGGUGGGAGGCUUUGAAGUGUGGACGCCAGUCUGCAUGGAGCCGACCUUGAAAUACCACCCUUUAAUGUUUGAUGUUCUAACGUGGACCCGUGAUCCGGGUUGCGGACAGUGUCUGGUGGGUAGUUUGACUGGGGCGGUCUCCUCCUAAAGAGUAACGGAGGAGCACGAAGGUUGGCUAAUCCUGGUCGGACAUCAGGAGGUUAGUGCAAUGGCAUAAGCCAGCUUGACUGCGAGCGUGACGGCGCGAGCAGGUGCGAAAGCAGGUCAUAGUGAUCCGGUGGUUCUGAAUGGAAGGGCCAUCGCUCAACGGAUAAAAGGUACUCCGGGGAUAACAGGCUGAUACCGCCCAAGAGUUCAUAUCGACGGCGGUGUUUGGCACCUCGAUGUCGGCUCAUCACAUCCUGGGGCUGAAGUAGGUCCCAAGGGUAUGGCUGUUCGCCAUUUAAAGUGGUACGCGAGCUGGGUUUAGAACGUCGUGAGACAGUUCGGUCCCUAUCUGCCGUGGGCGCUGGAGAACUGAGGGGGGCUGCUCCUAGUACGAGAGGACCGGAGUGGACGCAUCACUGGUGUUCGGGUUGUCAUGCCAAUGGCACUGCCCGGUAGCUAAAUGCGGAAGAGAUAAGUGCUGAAAGCAUCUAAGCACGAAACUUGCCCCGAGAUGAGUUCUCCCUGACUCCUUGA
RNAcentral lists this ribosomal RNA (2787 nucleotides) under Escherichia coli. RNAcentral describes it as "bacterial LSU rRNA". It matches the Rfam family "Bacterial large subunit ribosomal RNA". Lineage: Bacteria; Pseudomonadati; Pseudomonadota; Gammaproteobacteria; Enterobacterales; Enterobacteriaceae. The record is from RNAcentral.